GGGGAAUAUUGCACAAUGGGCGAAAGCCUGAUGCAGCAACGCCGCGUGAGCGAUGAAGGCCUUCGGGUCGUAAAGCUCUGUCCUCAAGGAAGAUAAUGACGGUACUUGAGGAGGAAGCCCCGGCUAACUACGUGCCAGCAGCCGCGGUAAUACGUAGGGGGCUAGCGUUAUCCGGAUUUACUGGGCGUAAAGGGUGCGUAGGUGGUUUCUUAAGUCAGGAGUGAAAGGCUACGGCUCAACCGUAGUAAGCUCUUGAAACUGGGAAACUUGAGUGCAGGAGAGGAAAGUGGAAUUCCUAGUGUAGCGGUGAAAUGCGUAGAUAUUAGGAGGAACACCAGUAGCGAAGGCGGCUUUCUGGACUGUAACUGACACUGAGGCACGAAAGCGUGGGGAGCAAAC
Molecule: ribosomal RNA, 399 nt
Filed under: uncultured bacterium
Lineage: Bacteria
Description: bacterial SSU rRNA
Rfam family: Bacterial small subunit ribosomal RNA
Source: RNAcentral